CGUCGUCUGCCGCGUUCGUCAGUGGGCCCGGUCACCUCUUGAGCCUAAUUUCGAGACCCCGGGAGCCCACCCGAGACACUGUUGUGCAGGUCCGCCAUGGCAGCGGAAAGCCUGAUGUGUCUCGCCAGGCCCCCUCUUGAACCGUUUCGGUUCAAGGGUCACGGCUCACAACGGCGCAGGCGGAUGGCGU
RNAcentral lists this non-coding RNA (190 nucleotides) under Chromatiales bacterium. RNAcentral's name for it is "6S RNA". It matches the Rfam family "6S / SsrS RNA". From Rfam's summary of the family: E. coli 6S RNA was the first non coding RNA to be sequenced, but its function was unknown until recently. It consists of 184 nucleotides that fold into an extended hairpin structure with a large single-stranded internal bulge. Lineage: Bacteria; Pseudomonadati; Pseudomonadota; Gammaproteobacteria; Chromatiales. RNAcentral also lists the same sequence under 1 other name. The record is from RNAcentral.